This 911-nucleotide ribosomal RNA is filed under the name Escherichia coli. RNAcentral describes it as "partial 23S ribosomal RNA". It matches the Rfam family "Bacterial large subunit ribosomal RNA", at positions 2011 to 2916 of the family's 2925-position model. The record is from RNAcentral. Lineage: Bacteria; Pseudomonadati; Pseudomonadota; Gammaproteobacteria; Enterobacterales; Enterobacteriaceae.
CCAGGCUGUCUCCACCCGAGACUCAGUGAAAUUGAACUCGCUGUGAAGAUGCAGUGUACCCGCGGCAAGACGGAAAGACCCCGUGAACCUUUACUAUAGCUUGACACUGAACAUUGAGCCUUGAUGUGUAGGAUAGGUGGGAGGCUUUGAAGUGUGGACGCCAGUCUGCAUGGAGCCGACCUUGAAAUACCACCCUUUAAUGUUUGAUGUUCUAACGUUGACCCGUAAUCCGGGGUGCGGACAGUGUCUGGUGGGUAGUUUGACUGGGGCGGUCUCCUCCUAAAGAGUAACGGAGGAGCACGAAGGUUGGCUAAUCCUGGUCGGACAUCAGGAGGUUAGUGCAAUGGCAUAAGCCAGCUUGACUGCGAGCGUGACGGCGCGAGCAGGUGCGAAAGCAGGUCAUAGUGAUCCGGUGGUUCUGAAUGGAAGGGCCAUCGCUCAACGGAUAAAAGGUACUCCGGGGAUAACAGGCUGAUACCGCCCAAGAGUUCAUAUCGACGGCGGUGUUUGGCACCUCGAUGUCGGCUCAUCACAUCCUGGGGCUGAAGUAGGUCCCAAGGGUAUGGCUGUUCGCCAUUUAAAGUGGUACGCGAGCUGGGUUUAGAACGUCGUGAGACAGUUCGGUCCCUAUCUGCCGUGGGCGCUGGAGAACUGAGGGGGGCUGCUCCUAGUACGAGAGGACCGGAGUGGACGCAUCACUGGUGUUCGGGUUGUCAUGCCAAUGGCACUGCCCGGUAGCUAAAUGCGGAAGAGAUAAGUGCUGAAAGCAUCUAAGCACGAAACUUGCCCCGAGAUGAGUUCUCCCUGACUCCUUGAGAGUCCUGAAGGAACGUUGAAGACGACGACGUUGAUAGGCCGGGUGUGUAAGCGCAGCGAUGCGUUGAGCUAACCGGUACUAAUGAACCGUGAGG